UACAGAGGUCUCGAGCGUUGUUCGGAUUCAUUGGGCGUAAAGGGUGCGUAGGUGGCUUGGUAAGUCGGAUGUGAAAUCCCGGGGCUCAACCCCGGAACUGCAUUCGAUACUGCCAGGCUAGAGUACUGGAGAGGAGAUUGGAAUUUACGGUGUAGCAGUGAAAUGCGUAGAUAUCGUAAGGAAGACCAGUGGCGAAGGCGGAUCUCUGGACAGUUACUGACGCUGAGGCACGAAGGCCAGGGGAGCAAACGGG
Molecule: ribosomal RNA, 253 nt
Filed under: uncultured bacterium
Lineage: Bacteria
Description: partial 16S ribosomal RNA
Rfam family: Bacterial small subunit ribosomal RNA
Source: RNAcentral